This is a non-coding RNA of Oreochromis niloticus (Nile tilapia), 1255 nucleotides long. The record is from the annotation of a RefSeq genome assembly. Lineage: Eukaryota; Metazoa; Chordata; Actinopteri; Cichliformes; Cichlidae.
GGCUCAAACUUGUAUAUAACUAUUGAACAUUUCUGAGGAGGAAGAGGAAGUGAGAAAAGUGAACAUCCAGCUCAAAGAGGAGACAGAGGGCGACAUCAUCCAGUAGGCGGUGCUCUCCUUCUGCACUGUGUUCAACCAUUGUGUCAAUAAUAAGUGCUGCUGUGAAGAGAACAAUUCUCAGACUGAAUGUUGAACAUCAGCUAGUUUCUCCUGUUGAUUGAAACCUUGUUGUACAGAUGGAACAUUGGCUGUGGAUUAUUCUUGCUGCUCUUUUCUUUGAGUGUAAAGGAGAAGACAAAGUGAUCCAGGAACAAGGAGAUGUCAUUGCUGCUGAAGGAGACACAGUUACACUUGGAUGUCAGUAUGAGAGCAGUGGAACAAAUAAUAAUCUCUUCUGGUACAAACAGGAUGGAAACAACAGCCCCAAAUUCAUCCUGAGUCGUGUUAGUGGGGAUGAUGGAAACACAGCAGCCGAGUUCAAGGAGAGAUUUUCAUCCACACUGGAUUCCAGCAUCAGAUCAGUUCCUCUGAAGAUCCAGAAGCUUCAGCUGUCUGACUCUGCUGUUUACUACUGUGCUGUGAGGCCCACAGUGACAGGAAACACCAAAACUCUGUACAAAAACCUUUGGAGCAAAGACAACAGAAUACUCCACAACAUCCACUAGAGGGAGCCACACACUGUUAAACUCUGGUUUGUCGACGCGUUCUCACUCCCUAAGCGUAAUAUUUUACGCUAUGUGACAAAUCGUCAACAUUUUACGCUUUCGGGUACCCAACACGUUCCUACAUGACGAGAUCGGAAAAAUGAGAAAACAUGAGAACCGUUGGGACUCUAUCUACACAUGUUCGUUCAUUUUCUUCAAAUCGCUUUACAAAACACUAUUUCAUGCCAUUUCUGUGCUGGUUAAGGUUAGAAAUAGGGUUAGGGUUAGGGUUAGGGAUAAGGUUAGGUUUAGGGCUGGAAUACAUGGCUGGAACGUAUAUUACCACGGAACCGUCAUACCACUGGAAUUCAGCCAUAACCCGGGGCGUACCAUCAGAACGCAGAAGGUCACCUUUCGCGUUCCUCACGAACGCCGCGGGACGUGACAAAACGUCGCCAUGCUACGCCCCGGGAGUGAGAACGCUCUGGGUUUGUUUGGUUGAAUGAAUAAAAUGUCUUUUGCAUAAAAACAGAAACUAUAAUUCACUUCUUAAAGGAGAGAUUUCUCACAUAAAUGAAUCAUCCACCGUUGUUGUCCUCUCUCUUCACUGC